GGCUUACGCUUGAAUGUUAAUAGCAUGGAACGAACAAUUGUGUAAAAGUGUCUGUACUUACAAUUUGGUGGAUUUAUCUGUCAAGUUGUGGGUGCAGUUCACAUCACCAACCGCCAAUAACGGAUGUUGGUUUCCGUAUUGGGGUGAUGAUUAAAAGGAGCGAUUGGGGGCAUUGGUAUUUGGCCGCGAGAGGUGAAAUUCUUGGACCGGCCAAGGACUAACAAAUGCGAAGGCAAUUGCCAAGAUCGUUUCCAUUAAUCAAGAACGACAGUCCGAGGUUCGAAGUCGAUCAGAUACCGACUUAGUUCGGACCGUAAACUAUGCCGACCCGAGAUCAGUUUUGAGCUAAUUAAACGCUCGAGGUUGCUCUCCCUGGGAAACCUUAAGUUUUUAGGUUACGGGGGGAGUAUGGUUGCAAAGCUGAAACUUAAAGGAAUUGACGGAAGGGCACCACCAGGGGUGGAGCCUGCGGCUUAAUUUGACUCAACACGGGAAAACUCACCUGGUCCGGACAUCGAAAGGAUAGACAGACUGAUAGAUCUUUCUUGAUACGUUGGUUGGUGGUGCAUGGCCGUUCUUAGUUCGUGGAGUGAUCUGUCAGGUUGAUUCCGGUAACGGACGAGACCAUAUUCUCCAUUUAAGGAAUGCAAAAACUCAGUCAAUGUGUGUUGGUUCGCUAACAUGUGUUGACUGUAGCUGGUUGUCACUGAAUAUCCGGAUAGAAUUUGACAGUAUGAGUGAGAGUGUCAAAACUUGAGCAAGUAUUGUUGGAAACCAUUCGGGGAUGCUGUACGCCUUUGCAAUAAACGGUGGCAGGCAACUGUUCACUGUCUUAUGGAGAGACAAAGCAGAAUACGUCAAAGUGCUAGGAGGUGUGGCGAUAACAGGUCUGUGAUGCCCUAAGAUGUUCAGGGCCGCACGCGCGCUACAAUGAUAACGUCAGCGAGUAUCUGGGUUGUCAAACUUGGGUAAUCUUGUCAAUCGUUAUCGUGAUGGGGAUUGAUCGUUGUAAUUGUCGGUCAUGAAAGAGGAAUCCCUAGUAUGUGCACUU
RNAcentral lists this ribosomal RNA (1051 nucleotides) under Myxobolus fryeri. Its description in RNAcentral is "SSU rRNA". It matches the Rfam family "Eukaryotic small subunit ribosomal RNA", at positions 783 to 1628 of the family's 1831-position model. Lineage: Eukaryota; Metazoa; Cnidaria; Myxozoa; Bivalvulida; Myxobolidae. The record is from RNAcentral.